AAAUUAGCCACGGAUAUUAGCCACGGCAUUUAGCCCUGGCUAAUAAUGAUAAUAGGGUUAGGGUUAAUGUAAAUGUAAAUAAUUAGGGUUAGGGUUAAUGUAAAUCUAAAUAAUUAGGGUUAGGGUUAGGGUGAGGGUUAGGAUUAGGAUUAAUAGAAAUUAACAAAAAUUAGUAAAAAUAAGUAUAUAUACAUAUUUAGAUAGUGUUAGGGUUAGAAAUUAGGGUUAAAAGUAAGAGUUAGAAGUAGAAGUUAGG
RNAcentral lists this long non-coding RNA (256 nucleotides) under Zostera marina. RNAcentral describes it as "long non-coding RNA (ZMAR_LNC004602)". The record is from RNAcentral. Lineage: Eukaryota; Viridiplantae; Streptophyta; Magnoliopsida; Alismatales; Zosteraceae.